Molecule: unclassified non-coding RNA, 526 nt
Filed under: Hevea brasiliensis (rubber tree)
Lineage: Eukaryota; Viridiplantae; Streptophyta; Magnoliopsida; Malpighiales; Euphorbiaceae
Source: RNAcentral
AAUAAUUCACUAUUUUUAAGGUAUUAAUUAUCUCCACUUAUGGCAAUAUACUUAUAAGAUAUAAUAAAGUCAGAAAUCUUUAAAUAGCAAUGUCAUUUAACUUUAAAACUUUUUAUGGAUUGGGUCUAGAGAGACGAGAAGAGAAAAAUAAGAAAUAGAAGAAGCCUUUAGAACUUUUUAUGAAUUGGGUUUAGAGAGACAAGAAGAAGAAAUAGAACUAGAAGAAGCGUAUUAAUGAAUAAAUAACUCAUAUAUAUUUAUAGACAAUGAAAAGUCAUGAAAUCUUUCUAAACAGGCGCAUCUAUCUAUUUCCAAUAGGUAUGAUUGUUUGUUUUAAAUUGGCACAUCUUCUAAACAGAUGUGAUUGUUUGAGUGUAAUAGACAUGUUCAUUUAUAGUUGUAAUUGUUUGUAUGUAAUAGGCAUGUCUGUUUAUAGCAGACACAUCUAUUAAUGAUUUAUUUAUGAAAAUUAAAAUAAUAAAGAUAAGAUUAAUUAUUUUAUUUUUAUACACGCGUGUGUCAAGUG